Molecule: ribosomal RNA, 558 nt
Filed under: Blastocystis sp. subtype 14
Lineage: Eukaryota; Bigyra; Opalinata; Blastocystidae
Description: partial small subunit ribosomal RNA
Rfam family: Eukaryotic small subunit ribosomal RNA
Source: RNAcentral
UGCAUGUGUAAGUAUAAAUAAUUCUACUUUGAAACUGCGAAUGGCUCAUUAUAUCAGUUAUAGUUUAUUAGAAAUAAUUUACUACUUGGAUAACCGUAGUAAUUCUAGGGCUAAUACAUGAGUAAAUCCUCGACUUUGAAGAGGUGUGUUUAUUAGUAUGAAAACCAUAUGCUUUUGCAUAAUAGUGAGUAAUAAUAACCUUUCAUAUCGUAUGUUGUAAUAACGAUAGUUCUUUCAAGUUUCUGCCCUAUCAGCUUUCGAUGGUAGUGCAUUGGACUACCAUGGCAGUAACGGGUAACGAAGAAUUUGGGUUCGAUUUCGGAGAGGGAGCCUGAGAGAUGGCUACCACAUCCAAGGAAGGCAGCAGGCGCGUAAAUUACCCAAUCCUGACAUAGGGAGGUAGUGACAAUAAAUCACAAUGCGGGACUUUUAGUUUUGCAAUUGGAUUGAGAACAAUGUAAAAGAGUUAUCGAUAAACAAUUGGAGGGCAAGUCUGGUGCCAGCAGCCGCGGUAAUUCCAGCUCCAAUAGCGUAUAUUAACGUUGUUGCAGUUAAAAA